Molecule: ribosomal RNA, 465 nt
Filed under: uncultured bacterium
Lineage: Bacteria
Description: partial 16S ribosomal RNA
Rfam family: Bacterial small subunit ribosomal RNA
Source: RNAcentral
GACGAACGCUGGCGGCGUGCUUAACACAUGCAAGUCGAACGGAAAGGCCCUGUUGUUGGGUGGUCCAGGGGUGACGGGGGGGGGAAUACGACAGUAGUAUCCCCUUCUUUUUGGUAUGAUAACAUGAAGAAGGGGCGAAUAAUACCUAGGAGCACCUGCUGCAUCGUGGGGGUGGGUAGGGAUUGGCGGCUGGGGAUGGAGUCGUGGCUUAUUAGCUUGUUGGUGGGGUAGUGGCUGACCAAGGCUUUGACGGGUAGUCGGCCUGAGAGGGUGACCGGCCACAUUGGGACUGAGAUACGGCCCAGACUCCUACGGGAGGCAGCAGUGGGGAAUAUUGCACAAUGGGCGGAAGCCUGAUGCAGCAACGCCGCGUGCGGGAUGACGGCCUUCGGGUUGUAAACCGCUUUCGCCUGUGACGAAGCGUGAGUGACGGUAAUGGGUAAAGAAGCACCGGCUAACUACGUG